Molecule: transfer RNA, 71 nt
Filed under: Cavia porcellus (domestic guinea pig)
Lineage: Eukaryota; Metazoa; Chordata; Mammalia; Rodentia; Caviidae
Rfam family: tRNA
About the family: Transfer RNA (tRNA) molecules are approximately 80 nucleotides in length. Their secondary structure includes four short double-helical elements and three loops (D, anti-codon, and T loops).
Source: Rfam by way of RNAcentral
GGGGAUUUAGCUCAGCGGCAUAAGCGCCUGCCUUGCAAGCAGGCAGUCGUGAGUUCGAUCCGCAGUACCGA